AAGUCGUAACAAGGUUUCCGUAGGUGAACCUGCGGAAGGAUCAUUAGCGAGUGGUUUUCCCGCGAGGGAGCUGCCCGACCUGUUGUCAUUUGCGCCGGGGGUGGGGGAUGUGUCGGCGAGAGGGUACCCGGAGGGGACGUUUGUCUCGGAAGGGGGGCCUGGGGCCGGCGCACCGCCGCACCGGGAUUUAAACUUCGGCGGAAGAGGCAGGCGUCGACCUGCCCGCCGCCGGCGACAAGUCUUUACAUCUUGAGGAGAAGCUGAAGUCUGAAGAAGUGAAAAACGAAGAAGAAGCAAAACUUUCAACAACGGAUCUCUUGGCUCUG
RNAcentral lists this unclassified non-coding RNA (326 nucleotides) under Scolecobasidium minimum. Its description in RNAcentral is "Ochroconis minima partial internal transcribed spacer region". The stretch from base 1 to 46 matches the Rfam family "Eukaryotic small subunit ribosomal RNA", at positions 1786 to 1831 of the family's 1831-position model. The record is from RNAcentral. Lineage: Eukaryota; Fungi; Ascomycota; Dothideomycetes; Venturiales; Sympoventuriaceae.